CAGGCGUGGGAGACUCCCAGACUCCGGCCCGCCGGGACGGCCAGCUGCGUCACCUUGGACGUGGGCAAUACUUCGGAGCCUCGGUUAUGUCGCCUGUAACCUGAGGACAACGGCCUGGAAGGGGCUCAGGUGACACGGCGGCCCUCACUGGGGCCGAUUUAGCCGGUCUGCCGCCCCUCCGCGCCGGACCGCCAGGCGGGGUACCAGGGAAACUGCGAUGCGCCGGCUUGCGAGCCCACCGUGACGCAGAGCUGGCGGCCGCUAGCGACAGCCACCCUGUGAGGGACUUUCCCCCCAAUACCCUAACCGCUUUCCUGUCCCUAAGGGCCCGCUCCCGCCCCGGCUCCGUUUCUGUCUCUCUGAGGAAGCCCGGCGCAGCCUAACCCUCACAGGGCCGCGGAGAGGGCGCGCCAGGCGGG
Molecule: long non-coding RNA, 419 nt
Filed under: Homo sapiens (human)
Lineage: Eukaryota; Metazoa; Chordata; Mammalia; Primates; Hominidae
Description: HSALNT0205836
Source: RNAcentral